Molecule: ribosomal RNA, 254 nt
Filed under: uncultured bacterium
Lineage: Bacteria
Description: partial 16S ribosomal RNA
Rfam family: Bacterial small subunit ribosomal RNA
Source: RNAcentral
CACGUAGGGGCCAAGCGUUGUCCGGAUUUAUUGGGCGUAAAGAGCUCGUAGGCGGCUCAGUAAGUCGGGUGUGAAAACUCCAGGCUCAACCUGGAGACGCCACCCGAUACUGCUGUGGCUAGAGUCCGGUAGGGGAGCGUGGAAUUCCUGGUGUAGCGGUGAAAUGCGCAGAUAUCAGGAGGAACACCGGUGGCGAAGGCGGCGCUCUGGGCCGGAACUGACGCUGAGGAGCGAAAGCGUGGGGAGCGAACAGG